This is a long non-coding RNA of Dreissena polymorpha, 780 nucleotides long. RefSeq lists it as uncharacterized. NCBI's taxonomy places the organism in Eukaryota, Metazoa, Mollusca, Bivalvia, Myida, Dreissenidae. The record is from RefSeq and is a predicted model, not a curated record. The transcript is spliced from 4 exons.
GACUUUUGAUUGGUUCAAUUUUUUGCACAGGAAAUUAUUUGAAAACAACAACUUUUGAAAAACAAGCUGGUUUCAGCAAUUGAAUUGAGCUAAAUUAAAUUAACAUUAAGACUUAUAAUUGUUCUGUAAAAUGUAUUGAAAUACUGUCAGCAUGAAGUAUUGUGUGAUGAAAACAAUGUGUAUUUUACUACAAUUUGGAAAUCAACAAUAAGUUUGUUGGAAAAGAAGUUCAACUGUUUUUUUUUGGAAUACUGAAGAACAGUUUUAACAGGUUAAACUCUUGCCCCAAGAGCAAAAGGGGUAAUCAUACUACCUGAUGUAUGGACUUUUACACCAGGCUUUUACCCUGCACGAGCUGGCCAACUUGAGGGGAACUGAAGUGGGCAAACCUCGCCCUGUCGUUGAACAAGAAAGCUGGAUUUGUUGAGAGAGUAUCAUUUAAGCUGAAAUCCAGCAUGAAACCAGGGAGGUGAUGGCCAUCGCACAGGCCAUGUGCCGACUAUUCACUUUCCACCAGCUUGUGACUUGCUCCAUGAAGGGAGCAACAACUACAAAGGGGUCACCAAGACCAAGCCUCCCCGCUGCUGAGAGAAAUGCAAUCAUUGAUGUCAUAGCCAAAACCUUUGACAAGCCUUCGGUUGAUGUUGAAGAAAAGAUGAGAGGUUGUUUAAGGCAUCUGCGGCUGAUGCACAAGUAGACUGAAGUCUUUGUAAAUAAAAUGUGCUGUUAAAAUGAUUAUUUAACCAUUGUUUUCACUUUGUUAUAUAGAUUUGCACCUGU